CAGCCGCCGCGGGAAUACGAAGGGGGCUAGCGUUGUUCGGAUUUACUGGGCGUAAAGCGCACGUAGGCGGAUCGAUCAGUCAGGGGUGAAAUCCCAGAGCUCAACUCUGGAACUGCCUUUGAUACUGUCGAUCUGGAGUAUGGAAGAGGUGAGUGGAAUUCCGAGUGUAGAGGUGAAAUUCGUAGAUAUUCGGAGGAACACCAGUGGCGAAGGCGGCUCACUGGUCCAUUACUGACGCUGAGGUGCGAAAGCGUGGGGAGCAAACAGGAUUAGAUACCCGAGUAGUCCCUGUCUCUUAUAC
RNAcentral lists this ribosomal RNA (301 nucleotides) under uncultured bacterium. RNAcentral's name for it is "partial 16S ribosomal RNA". It matches the Rfam family "Bacterial small subunit ribosomal RNA", at positions 509 to 807 of the family's 1533-position model. The record is from RNAcentral.